Molecule: ribosomal RNA, 1166 nt
Filed under: Acinetobacter baumannii
Lineage: Bacteria; Pseudomonadati; Pseudomonadota; Gammaproteobacteria; Moraxellales; Moraxellaceae
Description: partial 23S ribosomal RNA
Rfam family: Bacterial large subunit ribosomal RNA
Source: RNAcentral
GUUGUAUAGUCAAGUAAUUAAGUGCAUGUGGUGGAUGCCUUGGCAGUCAGAGGCGAUGAAAGACGUGAUAGCCUGCGAAAAGCUCCGGGGAGGCGGCAAAUAUCCUUUGAUCCGGAGAUGUCUGAAUGGGGGAACCCACCUACUUUAAGGUAGGUAUUGCAACAUGAAUACAUAGUGUUGCAAGGCGAACGAGGGGAAGUGAAACAUCUCAGUACCCUUAGGAAAAGAAAUCAAUUGAGAUUCCCUCAGUAGCGGCGAGCGAACGGGGGUCAGCCCAUUAAGUUAUGUGUGUUUUAGUGGAACGCUCUGGGAAGUGCGAACGUAGAGGGGGAUAUUCCCGUACACGAAAGGGCACACAUAAUGAUGACGAGUAGGGCGAGGCACGUGAAACCUUGUCUGAAUAUGGGGGGACCAUCCUCCAAGGCUAAAUACUCCUGACUGACCGAUAGUGAACCAGUACCGUGAGGGAAAGGCGAAAAGAACCCCUGUGAGGGGAGUGAAAUAGAUCCUGAAACCGCAUGCAUACAAGCAGUGGGAGCACCUUCGUGGUGUGACUGCGUACCUUUUGUAUAAUGGGUCAGCGACUUAUAUUCAGUAGCGAGGUUAACCGUAUAGGGGAGCCGUAGAGAAAUCGAGUCUUAAUAGGGCGUUUAGUUGCUGGGUAUAGACCCGAAACCAGGCGAUCUAUCCAUGAGCAGGUUGAAGGUUGGGUAACACUAACUGGAGGACCGAACCCACUGUCGUUGAAAAGCCAGGGGAUGACUUGUGGAUAGGGGUGAAAGGCUAAUCAAGCCUGGUGAUAGCUGGUUCUCCCCGAAAGCUAUUUAGGUAGCGCCUCGGACGAAUACCAUAGGGGGUAGAGCACUGUUUCGGCUAGGGGGUCAUCCCGACUUACCAAACCGAUGCAAACUCCGAAUACCUAUGAGUACUAUCCGGGAGACAGACUGCGGGUGCUAACGUCCGUAGUCAAGAGGAAAACAAUCCAGACCGCCAGCUAAGGCCCCAAAAUCAUAGUUAAGUGGGAAACGAUGUGGGAAGGCAUAGACAGCUAGGAGGUUGGCUUAGAAGCAGCCACCCUUUAAAGAAAGCGUAAUAGCUCACUAGUCGAGUCGGCCUGCGCGGAAGAUGUAACGGGGCUAAAACUAUGUGCCGAAGCUGCGGAUGUA